GACGAACGCUGGCGGCGUGCUUAACACAUGCAAGUCGAACGGAAAGGCCCUGCUUUUGUGGGGUGCUCGAGUGGCGAACGGGUGAGUAACACGUGAGUAACCUGCCCUUGACUUUGGGAUAACUUCAGGAAACUGGGGCUAAUACCGGAUAGGAGCUCCUGCUGCAUGGUGGGGGUUGGAAAGUUUCGGCGGGUGGGGAUGGACUCGCGGAUAAUCAGCUUGUUGGUGGGGUAGUGGCUUACCAAGGCUUUGACGGGUAGCCGGCCUGAGAAGGUGACCGGCCACAUUGGGACUGAGAUACGGCCCAGACGCCUACGGGAGGCAGCAGGGGGGAAUAUUGCACAAUGGGCGGAAGCCUGAUGCAGCAACGCCGCGUGCGGGAUGACGGCCUUCGGGUUGUAAACCGCUUUCGCCUGUGACGAAGCGUUAGUGACGGUAAUGGGUAAAGAAGCACCGGCUAACUACGUG
This 468-nucleotide ribosomal RNA is filed under the name uncultured bacterium. Its description in RNAcentral is "partial 16S ribosomal RNA". It matches the Rfam family "Bacterial small subunit ribosomal RNA", at positions 28 to 507 of the family's 1533-position model. The record is from RNAcentral.